CGGACGUGAUGUCAACCUGCCAUCCUGACCUGCUGUGGAGGCAAAAAAAAAACUGAUUUAAUGAGGCUGAUCC
Anas platyrhynchos (mallard) is the source of this 73-nucleotide non-coding RNA. NCBI's taxonomy places the organism in Eukaryota, Metazoa, Chordata, Aves, Anseriformes, Anatidae. The record is from Rfam.